GCGAGUAUGGCCCUCACGGGUCUAAUCCACCAUAAACACCUUUGUGAACCAGUCAGGGGGACUCGGCCGUGAAAGCCCAGGCGAUUAGCGGAAUGGCCCUCCUUUGCAAACCCGUUUAGAAGUCUUGAAAGUACUUUUGUAUAAUCUAUUA
RNAcentral lists this unclassified non-coding RNA (151 nucleotides) under uncultured Atractiellales. RNAcentral's name for it is "sequence contains ITS1". The record is from RNAcentral. Lineage: Eukaryota; Fungi; Basidiomycota; Atractiellomycetes; Atractiellales.